This 459-nucleotide ribosomal RNA is filed under the name uncultured Campylobacterota bacterium. Its description in RNAcentral is "bacterial SSU rRNA". It matches the Rfam family "Bacterial small subunit ribosomal RNA", at positions 29 to 506 of the family's 1533-position model. The record is from RNAcentral. Lineage: Bacteria; Pseudomonadati; Campylobacterota.
AGUGAACGCUGGCGGCGUGCUUAACACAUGCAAGUCGAACGAGAACGGUCCUUCGGGAUGUCAGCUAAGUGGCGGACGGGUGAGUAAUGUAUAGUUAAUUUGCCCCUUAGAGGGGGAUAACAGUUGGAAACGACUGCUAAUACCCCAUACUCCUUCUACAUUAAUUGUAGUUGGGAAAUGUUUUUUCGCUAAGGGAUAAGACUAUAUGGUAUCAGGUAGUUGGUGGGGUAAGAGCCUACCAAGCCAAUGACGCCUAGCUGGUCUGAGAGGAUGAUCAGCCACACUGGAACUGAGACACGGUCCAGACUCCUACGGGAGGCAGCAGUGGGGAAUAUUGCACAAUGGAGGAAACUCUGAUGCAGCAACGCCGCGUGGAGGAUGACACAUUUCGGUGCGUAAACUCCUUUUAUAUGGGAAGAUAAUGACGGUACCAUAUGAAUAAGCACCGGCUAACUCCGU